AGUGAACGCUGGCGGUAGGCCUAACACAUGCAAGUCGAACGGCAGCACAGUAGGAGCUUGCUCUUACGGGUGGCGAGUGGCGGACGGGUGAGGCAUACAUCGGAAUCUACUUUUUCGUGGGGGAUAACGUAGGGAAACUUACGCUAAUACCGCAUACGACCUACGGGUGAAAGCAGGGGAUCUUCGGACCUUGCGCGAUUGAAUGAGCCGAUGUCGGAUUAGCUAGUUGGCGGGGUAAAGGCCCACCAAGGCGACGAUGCGUAGCUGGUCUGAGAGGAUGAUCAGCCACACUGGAACUGAGACACGGUCCAGACUCCUACGGGAGGCAGCAGUGGGGAAUAUUGGACAAAGGGCGAAAGCCUGAUCCAGCCAUACCGCGUGAGUGAAGAAGGUCUUCGGGUUGUAAAGCCCUGUUGUUGGGAAAGAAAAGCAGUAGGUUAAAAUCCCGCUGUUCUGACGGUACCCAAAGAAUAAGCACCGGCUAACUUCGUG
Molecule: ribosomal RNA, 492 nt
Filed under: uncultured bacterium
Lineage: Bacteria
Description: partial 16S ribosomal RNA
Rfam family: Bacterial small subunit ribosomal RNA
Source: RNAcentral